This 301-nucleotide ribosomal RNA is filed under the name uncultured bacterium. RNAcentral describes it as "partial 16S ribosomal RNA". It matches the Rfam family "Bacterial small subunit ribosomal RNA", at positions 509 to 807 of the family's 1533-position model. The record is from RNAcentral.
CAGUCGCCGCGGGAAUACGUAGGGUGCGAGCGUUAAUCGGAAUUACUGGGCGUAAAGCGUGCGCAGGCGGUUCGUUAAGUCGGAUGUGAAAUCCCUGAGCUUAACUUAGGAAUUGCAUUCGAUACUGGGAAGCUAGAGUAUGGGAGAGGAUGGUAGAAUUCCAGGUGUAGCGGUGAAAUGCGUAGAGAUCUGGAGGAAUACCGAUGGCGAAGGCAGCCAUCUGGCCUAAUACUGACGCUGAGGUACGAAAGCAUGGGGAGCAAACAGGAUUAGAUACCCCAGUAGUCCCUGUCUCUUAUAC